This 554-nucleotide ribosomal RNA is filed under the name Triticum aestivum (bread wheat). RNAcentral describes it as "partial small subunit ribosomal RNA". Lineage: Eukaryota; Viridiplantae; Streptophyta; Magnoliopsida; Poales; Poaceae. The record is from RNAcentral.
AAAAGGAGUACCUUCGCAAAAUAGAGAUAUCGGCAUCAAGGGGAUAAGGUUCGCCUAACGCAUCGUCUUGUGUGGAUACGAAUCAAUUGAUUCGACCAGAAGGCACCAGCUCUCGGAAGGAGGCGCCUUCGCGCUGGGAUGAACCAGGCGGAGGGCCCGCGCGCCAGAGGCCGGGGGCCGUGUCGGGUGGAGGCGCGCCAGCGUCGAUGGUGGUGCCGCCGUUGGCGGACGCGCUGGUCCCCAAGGGCAAGAAGAACGCCGUGCUGAUGUUGCUCGCCGAGGUAAUAUUAUCUGCAGCGAGUACCCGUGCGACGAACGUCGGUGGCCGGAGGCGUGGCCUUUGGUGUCGCUUACGGCGACUUCGUCCUAAUGCUAGAAGAGGGAGGGCAGUCUCCACGGAACCGCAGAAAGGAUGAAUUCGGGCGCUGGUCCUUAUGGGCACGUGUACGAAGACUUUCCGGCUGUCAUCGACAAGGUCAAUCCGGCUCCCGUAGGGGAGUGACGACAGCGGCGCGUCGGCGGCUCGUUCUGGCGACAGUAGUGCUUGUUUGGGG